GGUGGCUCAGUGGUAGAGCGCUUGCCUUCAUGCAUGAGACCCUGGGUUCGAUUCCUCAGCACCA
RNAcentral lists this transfer RNA (64 nucleotides) under Dipodomys ordii (Ord's kangaroo rat). It matches the Rfam family "tRNA". Rfam says of the family: Transfer RNA (tRNA) molecules are approximately 80 nucleotides in length. Their secondary structure includes four short double-helical elements and three loops (D, anti-codon, and T loops). Further hydrogen bonds mediate the characteristic L-shaped molecular structure. tRNAs have two regions of fundamental functional importance: the anti-codon, which is responsible for specific mRNA codon recognition, and the 3' end, to which the tRNAs corresponding amino acid is attached (by aminoacyl-tRNA synthetases). tRNAs cope with the degeneracy of the genetic code in two manners: having more than one tRNA (with a specific anti-codon) for a particular amino acid; and 'wobble' base-pairing, i.e. permitting non-standard base-pairing at the 3rd anti-codon position. The record is from Rfam by way of RNAcentral. Lineage: Eukaryota; Metazoa; Chordata; Mammalia; Rodentia; Heteromyidae.